Molecule: ribosomal RNA, 496 nt
Filed under: uncultured bacterium
Lineage: Bacteria
Description: partial 16S ribosomal RNA
Rfam family: Bacterial small subunit ribosomal RNA
Source: RNAcentral
AUGAACGCUGGCGGCGUGCCUAAUACAUGCAAGUCGAGCGAACGGACGAGAAGCUUGCUUCUCUGAUGUUAGCGGCGGACGGGUGAGUAACACGUGGAUAACCUACCUAUAAGACUGGGAUAACUUCGGGAAACCGGAGCUAAUACCGGAUAAUAUUUUGAACCGCAUGGUUCAAAAGUGAAAGACGGUCUUGCUGUCACUUAUAGAUGGAUCCGCGCUGCAUUAGCUAGUUGGUAAGGUAACGGCUUACCAAGGCAACGAUGCAUAGCCGGCCUGAGAGGGUGAUCGGCCACACUGGAACUGAGACACGGUCCAGACUCCUACGGGAGGCAGCAGUAGGGAAUCUUCCGCAAUGGGCGAAAGCCUGACGGAGCAACGCCGCGUGAGUGAUGAAGGUCUUCGGAUCGUAAAACUCUGUUAGUAGGGAAGAACAUAUGUGUAAGUAACUGUGCACAUCUUGACGGUACCUAAUCAGAAAGCCACGGCUAACUACGUG